UACGUAGGGUGCGAGCGUUGUCCGGAAUUACUGGGCGUAAAGGGUGCGUAGGCGGGUCUUUAAGUCAGUGGUGAAAUCUCCAGGCUCAACCUGGAAACUGCCAUUGAUACUAUUUAUCUUGAAUUCUGUUGAGGUGGGCGGAAUACAUCAUGUAGCGGUGAAAUGCUUAGAUAUCUGAAAGAACACCAGUGGCGAAGGCGGUCAACUGGCUUUUAACUGACGCUCAGGCACGAAAGCGUGGGGAGCAAACAGG
RNAcentral lists this ribosomal RNA (253 nucleotides) under uncultured bacterium. RNAcentral's name for it is "partial 16S ribosomal RNA". It matches the Rfam family "Bacterial small subunit ribosomal RNA", at positions 524 to 776 of the family's 1533-position model. The record is from RNAcentral.